RNAcentral lists this ribosomal RNA (431 nucleotides) under uncultured bacterium. Its description in RNAcentral is "partial 16S ribosomal RNA". It matches the Rfam family "Bacterial small subunit ribosomal RNA", at positions 29 to 507 of the family's 1533-position model. The record is from RNAcentral.
AACGAACGCUGGCGGCAGGCCUAACACAUGCAAGUCGAGCGCCCUUUCGGGGGAGCGGCGGACGGGUGAGUAACGCGUGGGAAUAUGCCCUUCUCUACGGAAUAGCCUCGGGAAACUGAGAGUAAUACCGUAUACGCCCUAUGGGGGAAAGAUUUAUCGGGGAAGGAUUAGCCCGCGUUGGAUUAGGUAGUUGGUGGGGUAAUGGCCUACCAAGCCGACGAUCCAUAGCUGGUUUGAGAGGAUGAUCAGCCACACUGGGACUGAGACACGGCCCAGACUCCUACGGGAGGCAGCAGUAGGGAAUCUUAGACAAUGGGGGCAACCCUGAUCUAGCCAUGCCGCGUGAGUGAUGAAGGCCUUAGGGUUGUAAAGCUCUUUCAGCUGGGAAGAUAAUGACGGUACCAGCAGAAGAAGCCCCGGCUAACUCCGUG